UAGGGAAUCUUCGGCAAUGGACGAAAGUCUGACCGAGCAACGCCGCGUGAGUGAAGAAGGUUUUCGGAUCGUAAAACUCUGUUGUUAGAGAAGAACAAGGACGUUAGUAACUGAACGUCCCCUGACGGUAUCUAACCAGAAAGCCACGGCUAACUACGUGCCAGCAGCCGCGGUUAUACGUAGGUGGCAAGCGUUGUCCGGAUUUAUUGGGCGUAAAGCGAGCGCAGGCGGUUUCUUAAGUCUGAUGUGAAAGCCCCCGGCUCAACCGGGGAGGGUCAUUGGAAACUGGGAGACUUGAGUGCGGAAGAGGAGAGUGGAAUUCCAUGUGUAGCGGUGAAAUGCGUAGAUAUAUGGAGGAACACCAGUGGCGAAGGCGGCUCUCUGGACUGUAACUGACGCUGAGGCUCGAAAGCGUGGGGAGCAAACAGG
This 429-nucleotide ribosomal RNA is filed under the name Gemmatimonadota bacterium. Its description in RNAcentral is "Gemmatimonadetes bacterium partial 16S ribosomal RNA". It matches the Rfam family "Bacterial small subunit ribosomal RNA", at positions 355 to 776 of the family's 1533-position model. The record is from RNAcentral. Lineage: Bacteria; Pseudomonadati; Gemmatimonadota.